Molecule: long non-coding RNA, 289 nt
Filed under: Ixodes scapularis (black-legged tick)
Lineage: Eukaryota; Metazoa; Arthropoda; Arachnida; Ixodida; Ixodidae
Description: uncharacterized LOC121834456
Source: RNAcentral
ACAAAGAAACGGUGCUCCGUGGAAAUGUGUGAAAGCGACACCCGCACGGCCGGCAUCUCGCUGCACCGGUUUCCCUCGACUCUCGAAGGCGCGAAGCCUGGGUUCGGUUCUGCAACAACUGAAGUCUACAGGGGAAGACUCCAUGGCAGCUACGAGGCAGGGUAGUUUGCUCCUUACAUUUCGAGGCGUCAGCUUUCCUGGGCCCUGGACACCUCCGUCGCAAUGCGUUGCCAAGUUUGCUUCCCACAAAAAAGACAACACAUGGCGACAUUUCCAGGCAAAGCUCUCC